RNAcentral lists this small RNA (116 nucleotides) under bovine gut metagenome. Its description in RNAcentral is "RT-5 RNA". It matches the Rfam family "RT-5 RNA". Rfam says of the family: Clostridium (Firmicutes). Environment (Cow rumen (57)) The record is from RNAcentral.
GCGCCUGUGAUGGGCAAGGCACGCGGGCUUUGGGCGCGUCUUGACGCGCGGCUUUGCAGGCAGCCCCCGCGUGUACGGUCCGGUACAUUCAGGAACUUCCUGAAUUUAAAGACUUC